Molecule: non-coding RNA, 205 nt
Organism: Pelobates cultripes (western spadefoot toad)
Lineage: Eukaryota; Metazoa; Chordata; Amphibia; Anura; Pelobatidae
Source: the annotation of a GenBank genome assembly
CACACACUCGUCGGUAUGAAUUAUUGUCCAGAAAGUAGGACUCAACACGCAGGGCAUUCUGCAAUGCAGAUUCGCAGAGAAUAAUGCCAGUUGCAUAAUAAAUUCUGGAUAGAAACAUAGUGUAGCAAUUUGGUAGAUUAAAAUGACCUGAUUGAACCACGUGAAGCCAAAACAUAUGUAUAGGAUCACUGAACUUGAAUUAGAC